GUCGAGCGAUGAAACUUUAACAGAACCCUUCGGGGCGAAGAUAGAGCGGAUUAGCGGCGGACGGGUGAGUAACACGUGAGUAACCUGCCUUAGACAUUGGGAUAGCCUCGGGAAACCGGGAUUAAUACCAAAUAAAAUCAUAAUGACACAUGUCAUAACGAUCAAAACUCCGGUGGUCUAAGAUGGACUCGCGUCCCAUUAGCUAGUUGGUAGAGUAAAAGCCUACCAAGGCGACGAUGGGUAGCCGGCCUGAGAGGGUGAACGGCCACAUUGGAACUGAGAAACGGUCCAAACUCCUACGGGAGGCAGCAGUGGGGAAUAUUGCACAAUGGAGGGAACUCUGAUGCAGCGACGCCGCGUGAACGAAGAAGGCUUUCGAGUCGUAAAGUUCUUUUAUAUGGGAAGAUAAUGACGGUACCAUAAGAAAAAGCCCCGGCUAACUACGUGCCAGCAGCCGCGGUAAUACGUAGGGGGCUAGCGUUGUCCGGAAUCACUGGGCGUAAAGGGUUCGCAGGCGGAAAUGCAAGUCAGAUGUAAAAGGCAGUAGCUUAACUACUGUAAGCAUUUGAAACUGCAUAUCUUGAGAAGAGUAGAGGUAAGUGGAAUUUUUAGUGUAGCGGUGAAAUGCGUAGAUAUUAAAAAGAAUACCGGUGGCGAAGGCGACUUACUGGGCUCAUUCUGACGCUGAGGAACGAAAGCGU
RNAcentral lists this ribosomal RNA (701 nucleotides) under uncultured Eubacteriales bacterium. Its description in RNAcentral is "bacterial SSU rRNA". It matches the Rfam family "Bacterial small subunit ribosomal RNA", at positions 61 to 762 of the family's 1533-position model. The record is from RNAcentral. Lineage: Bacteria; Bacillati; Bacillota; Clostridia; Eubacteriales.